RNAcentral lists this transfer RNA (74 nucleotides) under Chloroflexota bacterium. Its description in RNAcentral is "Chloroflexi bacterium tRNA-Tyr". It matches the Rfam family "tRNA". Rfam says of the family: Transfer RNA (tRNA) molecules are approximately 80 nucleotides in length. Their secondary structure includes four short double-helical elements and three loops (D, anti-codon, and T loops). Lineage: Bacteria; Bacillati; Chloroflexota. RNAcentral also lists the same sequence under 1 other name. The record is from RNAcentral.
CCCGGGAUAGCCAAGUGGCCUAAGGCAGCUGACUGUAAAUCAGCCAUUCGGUGGUUCGAAUCCUCCUCCCGGGA